RNAcentral lists this transfer RNA (74 nucleotides) under secondary endosymbiont of Trabutina mannipara. It matches the Rfam family "tRNA". Rfam says of the family: Transfer RNA (tRNA) molecules are approximately 80 nucleotides in length. Their secondary structure includes four short double-helical elements and three loops (D, anti-codon, and T loops). The record is from Rfam by way of RNAcentral. Lineage: Bacteria; Pseudomonadati; Pseudomonadota; Gammaproteobacteria; Enterobacterales; Enterobacteriaceae.
GGGGCUAUAGCUCAAUUAGGUAGAGUACUUGCAUGGCAUGCAAGUGGUUAGCGGUUCGAUUCCGCUUAGCUCCA